UGAACGCUGGCCGGCGUGCCUAACACAUGCAAGUCGAACGAGAACGGCCCUAGCUUGCUAGGGUGUCAGCUCAGUGGCGCACGGGUGAGUAAUGUAUAGGUAACAUGCCCCUCGGAGGGGGAUAACGGCUGGAAACGGCCGCUAAUACCCCAUACUCCUUUGCAGCGGAAGCUGUAGAGGGAAACCGGUGUAUUCUGCCCGAGGGAUUGGCCUGUAUCGUAUCAGCUAGUUGGUGGGGUAACGGCCUACCAAGGCGAUGACGCGUAGCCUGGUCUGAGAGGAUGAUCAGCCACACUGGAACUGAGACACGGUCCAGACUCCUACGGGAGGCAGCAGUGGGGAAUAUUGCGCAAUGGGGGGAACCCUGACGCAGCAACGCCGCGUGGAGGAUGACGCAUUUCGGUGUGUAAACUCCUUUUCUGCCGGAAGAUGAUGACGGUAUGGCAGGAAUAAGCACCGGCUAACUCCGUGCCAGCANCCGCGGUAAUACGGAGGGUGCAAGCGUUACUCGGAAUCACUGGGCGUAAAGCGCGCGCAGGCGGCUAUUUAAGUUGGAUGUGAAAGCCUACGGCUCAACCGUAGAACUGCAUCCAAAACUAUUUAGCUAGAGUGUGGGAGAGGAAGAUGGAAUUAGUUGUGUAGGGGUAAAAUCCGUAGAGAUAACUAGGAAUACCAAAAGCGAAGGCAAUCUUCUGGAACACUACUGACGCUGAGGCGCGAAGGCGUGGGGAGCAAACAGGAUUAGAUACCCUGGUAGUCCACGCAGUAAACGAUGAAUGUUAGUCGUCGGGGGCCUAGUGUCUUCGGUGAUGCAGCUAACGCAUUAAACAUUCCGCCUGGGGAGUACGGUCGCAAGAUUAAAACUCAAAGGAAUAGACGGGGACCCGCACAAGUGGUGGAGCAUGUGGUUUAAUUCGAAGAUACGCGAAGAACCUUACCUAGCCUUGACAUAUUUUAGAACUCCGUAGAGAUACAGAGGUGCCUUCGGGAGCUAAUAUACAGGUGCUGCACGGCUGUCGUCAGCUCGUGUCGUGAGAUGUUGGGUUAAGUCCCGCAACGAGCGCAACCCUCGUCACUAGUUACUAACGGUUCGGCCGAGGACUCUAGUGAGACUGCCUU
RNAcentral lists this ribosomal RNA (1119 nucleotides) under uncultured Campylobacterota bacterium. Its description in RNAcentral is "bacterial SSU rRNA". It matches the Rfam family "Bacterial small subunit ribosomal RNA", at positions 30 to 1155 of the family's 1533-position model. Lineage: Bacteria; Pseudomonadati; Campylobacterota. The record is from RNAcentral.